RNAcentral lists this long non-coding RNA (7424 nucleotides) under Sparus aurata (gilthead seabream). RNAcentral describes it as "lncRNA (ENSSAUG00010011670.1)". Lineage: Eukaryota; Metazoa; Chordata; Actinopteri; Spariformes; Sparidae. The record is from RNAcentral.
CUGCUGUAGUGCCACUAACCAGCUGGUUGGGGGAGCUCCAUAGACAUGGUUCAGACCUUUCACUCAGUAAAGUUUUUGCUGUUUUUCCUCCUCUUGUCUUUCAGGGGAGCUCUGCAGAGCUUUUUGGGGAGAUGUUUCAGAACCUCCCACGCCUGAAUUCUGACUUCCUCAACACCUCCUGGCAAACAUCCAGAAAUAUCCCAACCCCUAAAACUCUCGCAAAGGACAUUAGCACGCCUUCAUCAACCCCUGAACCCCUAUCAGAAGUAACACCGAGCCCAGCACUCUCCCCCAGAUCCCUCUCCAAAUCCCCUCAGAGUCCACGGUUAUCCUCUAAACAGUCCUCGAGGCUAUCAAGUCCACAUUCUCAUUCAUCAAACAGUUUUCUUAGUAAAUCCUCAACCGCAGUUUCCUCUAAGUCUAAAUCCAAAGAGUUGCCUUCGCCCUUCCUCUCACCAAAAUCUAUAACAAAACCUAGCCCUUACAUCCCAGUUUCUCCUAAAAAGAAGGUGAAAAAAAGACUGCAUGGAGUGACAGCUGCUAAAAAGGUUUUAAUUGAAAACCAGUCAUCUCCUCUAUCACCUCAAGAACUCUGUAGCCCCACAAGACCCUCCAGUGAUAUUUCCAUUAAUCACCCCAGUGAGGAAGAGCUUCCUGCUUCACCACAAACAGAAGGAGAAACUGUCCCAGGAGGAAUUGUCAUAGAGGAUGUGGAGGAGAGUGUCUCUGAGAAAGGAGCUGACUCUGACUUUUUGCCAAACACGGGAAAGAAGGGCAGAGCUCUUAGAAGAUCUAUGAAAGAGGCGGAGGAGUUCGCUGAACAGCUCCAGUCUAACGGGAAAGCAGAACAAAAUUCCCACAAGGCCUUACCCACAGAGAUCCUGAAAGGCUCCAGCCCUGGAAGGAAAGAAGUGUCUCCAAUGAAGAGCUCAAAGAGUUUGAAAAAGCCCAAAGUCACAUCCACAGGCAAAGAGAAUAUUACCAACCAGUCAAAUAAGAUGACAAGACAAGCUCAAAAGGAACCCUCCCUUUUUCAAUCACCACGUGAUAAGAGCAACAAAAGUCCACAGACUGUCUGGAAGACACUGACUGAAGCACAGCAGAGGCUGACUAAAGUGAAGGAAAAUGCCAAAAGGAGUAAACAUUUAAAAGAAACUUAUUUAAACAAAGAGGAUGUGAGAGCCAGCACUUUAAAAAAAGACUUGAUAAGGACACCAAAAAAGGAGAGAAAUAAAUCACCAGCUUUCAACACAACUUCUCCUGUUAUCAUACUUAGUAAAGAAUAUGAAAUAACCAGCAUAUCCGACCCAAGAGGAAGUUCGACAUCCACAGAAAACGCUGCACAGGAAGACACAGAAACCAAUGACGUCAAACCUCUUGAAGUGGAAAUGCAACCGGAGACACGGCGAGUCAAAUCGACUCCGACAAAAGAUUUGGACAUGGUUAAAUCAGCACCGGGGAAAGGUAAAAGUAAAGCACUGCAUGCAAAAUCGCCACCUGUGAAGAAAGAAAGCACACCUGCUCUGGUUGAUACGAAGAAAUCCCCAAGUGUGAAAUCUACACCUGUGAAAGUUAAAGGGAAACUGCAAAAGGUGAAAAGUAAACGUGAAGAAAAUACUGAAGGUAAAGGAAAGGUUGUUGAAAAGGAGUUUUUGGCUCAAAACCUGAAAGGAAGAACCGCCGAUAAGAUGAAGACGCCGGACGUUGACAGCUCUAAACUUACGGACAAAAACAAGUCAAAAGAAAAUAAAGUGAAGGCAAGUACAAAGCCAAGGGGACAAGAAGGAGUUCAAGUUAAAGGAGAAGCUGUUGCGGACUCUAAAGAUGAUACCAGGGCCAAGCCGGCGAGUCAGCACACUGAAGCUUCCAGCCUGCUGUUAUCACAGCAGGAUACACCUACCGAAGUGGUGUGUAGUCCCAUUUCAUCACAAAGCCCUCAGAGAAGAGAGGCAAUUUCCGUCAGUGGUGCCAAGUCCCUGCAAGGCCCUGAACCUGCUGAUAGGAACCCACUUCUUUCUGGCAGAAACAGAGAGGAUACUCAGGAUACUGAAGAGAAACCCAGGUGGGGGGAAAUUCUCAGUACCGCAGCCUCCCUUCUCCCUGCUGUUGGGAUAGCUGGCGCGUCUAUGGGAGUCCUUAGUGAUGCAGUGACAAGCUUCAGGCGUGUCCAGUCUGACAGUGACACCGUUCCGUCAACACCCACUAAAAUGAAGCAAUUCACAAAGCAGAGUGCAAUCAUGCAACCUUCCUUUUCCUCAACACUGUCACAUUUUUCUUCAACAGAAGCGUCAAAUCCACCAGAAGCAGGAAAAGAUGUUGAGGCGAGUGUUGUAUCAGAGUCGGGAAACACACAAGAAGAAAGUAUAGAGAGCACUCAGGAUCAGUCCGAACAGAUUUGGAGUGAAGACGUUUCCCAAACAGAGAAGACAAAAAGUGUCUCAGACACAGACGAUGAGACAACAUACAAACCUUCAGCAGAGGAUGACGAGGGAGAGGAAACAGAUCCUGGAGGUGAAGAGGGAGAGAGUGGAAGCAGUGUGGUAGGGAAAGAGGAAGAGGAGGAGGAAGGUGGAAGUAGUGAUGACGUAGAAGAGAAAAUAGAGAGUGUUUCUGGAGAGGAUGAGGAAGAGCAGGAAAGUGCAGAGGAAGACAGUGAGGAGGAAACAGGCUCCAGUGAGAAGAGUGAUGUUACAGAGGCUGAGAAGGAGGAAGAAGAAAGCAGUGAGGAAUCAGGUAAAGGAGGAAGUUACUCUGAGGUGAGUGAACUUGCAGAGGAGGAGGAGGAGAAUGGGGGAAGUCUAGUGUCUAGUGACGAAGAGAAUAAAGAAGAUGAGGAAGAGAGUGAGGUGACUGAGGAUGAAGAAGAUGAAAGUGGUGAAGAAUCGGGGAGUGGUGGCAGCAGGAGCAACGAGUCGGAUGAAGAGGAGGAAAGAGAGGGAAGUGACACAGCAGAAGAAGAAGAAGAAGAAGAAGAAGAAGAAGAAACUGAGGAACAAAAAGAUUCCACUGAAAGUGAGAACAAGGAAAAAGACUCAGAAGAAGAUGAAGAAUCAGAUGAAAGCAAGGGAGAGGAAGAUGAGAAACAGGACAAAGAGAGUGGUGAAAAUGAUGAGGAAGAGGAAGACAGCAGGGCUAAUGAAGAGGAGGAAGAGCAAAGUGAAACGAGUGAUUUGGAUGAGGGGGAAGCUGAGGAUGAGACUGCAGAGGAGAAAGAAGAAGAAGAGGAUGAGGAAGAGGUUACAGAGGAUGAGGAAGAAGAGAGUGUAGAGGGUACAGAGGAGGAGGAGGGAGGAGUUGGGGAAGAGGCUGCAGAUGAAGAAGAAGGAGGUGAUGAUGAGGGAGAGGAGAGCAAGGAUGUUACAGAGGAGGAGGAGGAUGAGACUGCAGAGGAAGAAGAAGAAGGUGAUGAGGGAGAGGAGAGUAAGGAGGUUACAGAUGAGGAGGAAGAGGAGGAGGAUGAGACUGCAGAGGAAGAAGGAGACAAGGAGGGAGAAGAGAGUAAGGAGGUUACAGAUGAGGAGGAAGAGGAGGAGGAUGAGACUGCAGAGGAAGAAGAAGAGGGAGGUGAGGAGGGAGAAGAGAGUAAGGAGGUUACAGAGGAGGAGGAGGAGGAUGAGACUGCAGAGGAAGAAGAAGAAGGAGAUGAGGAAGGAGAAGAGAGUAAGGAUGUUACAGAGGAGGAGGAGGAGGAGGAGACUGCACAAGAAGAAGAAGAUGAGGAGGGAGAAGAGAGUAAGGAGGUUACAGAGGAGGAGGAGACUGCAGAGGAAGAAGAAGAAGGUGGUGGGGAGGGAGAAGAGAGUAAGGAGGUUACAGAAGAGGAGGAGGAGGAGGAGACUGCUGAGGAAGAAGAAGAAGAAAAUGAGGAGGGAGAAGAGAGUAAGGCGAUUACAGAGGAGGUAGAAGAUGAGGAAGAAGCAUCUUUAGAUGAGGGGGAAGUUGAGGACGAGAUUGCAGAGGAAGAAGAAAAACAUGACGAGGAAGAGGAUGAGAAAGGAGUUGAGGAAGAAACCGCAGAGGGUAAAGAAGAGGAGGAGGAGGAGUUAGCAGAGGAAGAAGGAGAAGAGGAAGAGGAAGAGAGUGAAGGUGAGGAGGAGGAAAAAAUAAAUAGAAAAGAGAAAAGUACUGAGGCCAAUAAAAAGGUGAUGAUAGAGAGCAGUGAUGCGGAGGAGGAGGAGGAGGAGGAGGAGGGGGAUGAGGACGAGGAUGAAGAGGAAGAGAGAAAACCCAUGAGUCGGAGAGAAGAAACAAAACAAAACAAACUGUAGGAAAGAAAGGUAAUGAUUCUGAGGAGGAUGAGGAAAGUGACGAAGAGGAAGAGGAGGGAGAUGAGGAGGAGAGUGAGGAUGAAGGAAAGGCUGCAGAUGUCAAAAAAAGUGAGAAGGAUAAAGAAGGAAACGUGGAGGAGGAAGGAGAUGAGGAGGAAGAAGAAGAAGAUGAGGAGGAAGAGGAAGAAGAAGAGGAGGAGGAAGAAAAGGGAGAGGAGCAGGAAGAAGAAGAGGAGGAGGAAGAAGAAGAGGAAGAGGAGGAAAAGGUCAAAUCAACAAAAACAAAAAAAAUGGACGGACAAGACAAACAACAGAAGGAGACUCCCAAACCAGCUCCGAGGACGAAGCAGAAGGUGGCAGGGGAGAAGUAACCAGACGACCCUCUGCAGCUCUGGAACGAUGUUCUGUCUCAGUAUGUCGACCUGCAGUGAGCUUAUCAAACAGUUUGUAACUGAGAGGACAGACGACUGCAGCUCCAACAGCAAUCAGCUGACAAAGUUUCAUGCAGAGAACCUGCUCACUGAGAGUCAGACUCAAGUGUCAAGCUAAAAGUUAUUAUCAACAAAUCCCAUUACAGUAAAAAGACCAAAAACCAACAAUGCAUUAGUCUGCAUCUCAAUAUUUAAUGACUUCCCCCCCCUGUGGCCCUCAGUCAGCCUCAAACCUGGUCAUUCCUACUAUAGACAGAAAACCAUCACAGAUAUACACCGUUCUUUUGAUUCACUGAUUCACUCAGCUGGGCUCUGUAGUUUUUCACAAACUUGACUCAAGCUAUAGAGAAAAUCGUGAAUUUGUUGAGACUUUUUUCAGUUGUGGAUUUAAGAAUCAUUGUGAAUUUGUUUGUAAAAAGGUUUCAAAAUCUUUAGGCAUUAUAAAAAGGGUAAAACAACAUUUGAAAAAAAGUACACUUCUAACCUUGUAUUACAGUUUAAUCUAUUCUCAUAUCUCAUACUGCAAUAUAAUUUGGGCCAGCACCUACUCUUCUUAUUUACAAGCAAUUCAUAGAUGUCAGAAAUCCUUUGUAAGAAUUGCCACCAACUCUUCUUAUCUAGCCCCAACAAAACCACUAUUUAAACAAUUACAACUUCUUACAAUUUAUGAGGUGAACAAGUACCAAACAGGGGUUCUUAUGUAUAAAGUAAUCUGCCUUCCUGCAUCUCUACCUAAUUUUUUUCCAAGCUAUUUUGAGUUUAACUCACAUUAUCAUACACAUUCUACAAGAAGAAAGAAUGAUUUACAUAUUCCUUUCUGUAGGACCUCUGUUGCUAAAUUCUCAUUUGUCUAUCAAGGUGCAGUGCUGUGGAAUGAUAUAAAACAUUUUUAGAAUCUAGUUUCUCUAUAAAUACAUUUAAAACCAAGUUCAAACAAUACCUACAGACCUAGUCACAUCUUUACAUCAUUGGGUUUUAAUUGAAAUGAAUCUGCAAUUUUAUGGAUAUUUUCUGUUUGUUGUUUAUUGUGUUUUUGUUUUUGUUUUUUUUUGUUGUUUGUUUGUUUUCCCCUUUUUUCUUUUUCUUUUCUUUUCUUUUUCUAUUGAUUGAUCUGUUUUAGUGAUUUUGUAUUGAGGGGGAGGAUCUUAUAUAAGCCCUUUGGGUUUCUUUUCCUCUCCUGCACAAUUAUUUGUCUUUGUAUUAUUAAACAGAAUUUUUGUUUUAUCAUUGUGCAUAUAAAUAAAUAAAUAAAAAUAAAUUAAAACGUAUUUGGUGCACCGGAGAGUUUACAGCAGCAGAAUGGUGUAUGUGGGCAUGAUACAAAACCAUAGAUGUACAAUAGAACUAGAUACUGGAUGCAAAGAUGACGCCUAUUCAGUCCAGUAAGAACUGCUUUCCUGGCACAUACCAAAAAACAUUUACAUUGUGCUGAUGUCACAGAUUUUUAAAUAGUUUUUCUCGUAUAAAGGAAGGUUUUACAAAUAUAAAACCUCCCAUGGAUCAAAAGUGGAUAACAGAGUGAAUCAUAAUCUACCAUGUUCGCAAUUCAAGGUGUCCUGUCAAGCUUUACAGACUUCUCUCUGUUAUAAUGGUGCUUUAAUGGAAAAAUGCUUUGUGGGCUGCGGUGAAAUGUUUCGCUUCAGUACUGUGAGUAGCAACUGGGCAAGAUUGUAACACAGGCUGAGCAGUGAUGUCAUAUAUAGGUCUAUAAUACAUUCAUGCUCAAAAUCGACUACAGUGCCCAUGUUCAUCAUUUAUAGGAACCUGUCACUCAGUGCAACAGAGGCCCAUUUAUUUGUUUUUUUUAGGUGAGCACUCCACAGAUUUAACAUCGUACCAUAUGAUGGAGUCAGAAGAAGAUGGUUUUAAUAAGAAAGGAUCAAAAUUGAUGAACCAUAGACAUCAUCUUUUUUAUUCCACAUGUACUUCUACCUUGCCAGGUAGAAAAGCCAGGAUUGCCCACAAUGCAAUGCGGCACAGUCCGUUCACCCUGCUGCCACCUGGCAAAACAUACAGAAGUAUCUGCUGCCAUACAACCAGACUACAGAGCAGCUUCAUUUACACUUGGUUGUACAACCUUGUGUUGUAGAAUGAAACAUAUGAGCCUUGGACUACACCUCUGACAGAUGAGCCGGUGGUCUGGGCGUGUAAUGCUAGCAGAGGCUAAUCUAGCCUCGAGCUGUGAGCCUGAAGAAGAGAUGAGGGUAUGGUAAACUCGCUUCCUUCUAACUCCAAACCCCCACAUUUUUAUUUAUUUAUCUAUUUUCAUUUUUGAACAUGUAGUUUCCAGCUUUCACAUGUUUCCCUCUGGAGCUUCAAAAUGGCUUCAUACAACUGUGUUCACAUAUGCAGUAGUACUUCCCGAAACCUGUAAACAAACUUAAACUUGUGAAUUCAGCACUCAGUGGAGUGGUGCGGCUCAGAGGAAAUGAACUACAGUAUAUGAUGCUCUGGCUGAGCAGGCUUUAUUUUUAAGUCGGGGAAAUAUUGUUGGUUUUGGUCUUUUCAUUAGAUUUUCUGACAUUAUGAAAAACAUAGAUUAUCACCAGACCUGUCCUUUAAAAAUGUAUAUGAAGUUCAAAUAAAAAGCUGAAAAUACUGGUUAUGCUUGAUGCAAAUUGAAGAAUGUCCGUUUCACCAUUUGUUUGAUUUCUCCUUGAUUUUCUUCUUCAUGGGCUCAUAAGUAUAUAGAUAUUUGUAUUGCCGAGGGGCUCCUUGUUUCUGC